UUCCAGACUCCUACGGGAGGCAGCAGUGAGGAAUAUUGGUCAAUGGGCGCGAGCCUGAACCAGCCAAGUCGCGUGAGGGAUGACGGCCCUACGGGUUGUAAACCUCUUUUGUCGGGGAGCAAAUUCCGUUACGUGUAACGGAGUCGAGAGUACCCGAAGAAAAAGCAUCGGCUAACUCCGUGCCAGCAGCCGCGGUAAUACAUAGGGAGCAAGCGUUAUCCGGAUUUAUUGGGUGUAAAGGGUGCGUAGACGGGAAAUUAAGUUAGUUGUGAAAUCCCUCGGCUUAACUGAGGAACUGCAACUAAAACUGAUUUUCUUGAGUACUGGAGAGGAAAGUGGAAUUCCUAGUGUAGCGGUGAAAUGCGUAGAUAUUAGGAGGAACACCAGUGGCGAAGGCGACUUUCUGGACAGUAACUGACGUUGAGGCACGAAAGUGUGGGGAGCAAACAGGAUUAGAUACCCGAGUA
RNAcentral lists this ribosomal RNA (467 nucleotides) under uncultured bacterium. Its description in RNAcentral is "bacterial SSU rRNA". It matches the Rfam family "Bacterial small subunit ribosomal RNA", at positions 329 to 792 of the family's 1533-position model. The record is from RNAcentral.